RNAcentral lists this ribosomal RNA (497 nucleotides) under uncultured bacterium. RNAcentral describes it as "partial 16S ribosomal RNA". It matches the Rfam family "Bacterial small subunit ribosomal RNA", at positions 28 to 507 of the family's 1533-position model. The record is from RNAcentral.
GAUGAACGCUGGCGGCGUGCCUAAUACAUGCAAGUCGAGCGAACGGACGAGAAGCUUGCUUUUCUGAUGUUAGCGGCGGACGGGUGAGUAACACGUUGAUAACCUACCUAUAAGACUGGGAUAACUUCGGGAAACCGGAGCUAAUACCGGAUAAUAUUUUGAACCGCAUGGUUCAACAGUGAAAGACGGUCUUGCUGUCACUUAUAGAUGGAUCCGCGCUGCAUUAGCUAGUUGGUAAGGUAACGGCUUACCAAGGCAACGAUGCAUAGCCGACCUGAGAGGGAGAACGGACACACUGGCACUGAGAAACGGUCCAGACUCCUACGGGAGGCAGCAGUAGGGAAUCUUCCGCGAUGGGCGAAAGCCUGACGGAGCAACGCCGCGUGAGUGAUGAAGGUCUUCGGAUCGUAAAACUCUGUUAUUAGGGAAGAACAUAUGUGUAAGUAACUGUGCACAUCUUGACGGUACCUAAUCAGAAAGCCACGGCUAACUACGUG